This 526-nucleotide ribosomal RNA is filed under the name uncultured bacterium. RNAcentral's name for it is "bacterial SSU rRNA". It matches the Rfam family "Bacterial small subunit ribosomal RNA", at positions 992 to 1515 of the family's 1533-position model. The record is from RNAcentral.
UGACAACUCUAGAGAUAGAGUCUUCCCCUUCGGGGGACAAAGUGACAGGUGGUGCAUGGUUGUCGUCAGCUCGUGUCGUGAGAUGUUGGGUUAAGUCCCGCAACGAGCGCAACCCUUAAGCUUAGUUGCCAGCAUUAAGUUGGGCACUCUAAGUUGACUGCCGGUGACAAACCGGAGGAAGGUGGGGAUGACGUCAAAUCAUCAUGCCCCUUAUGAUUUGGGCUACACACGUGCUACAAUGGACAAUACAAAGGGCAGCUAAACCGCGAGGUCAUGCAAAUCCCAUAAAGUUGUUCUCAGUUCGGAUUGUAGUCUGCAACUCGACUACAUGAAGCUGGAAUCGCUAGUAAUCGUAGAUCAGCAUGCUACGGUGAAUACGUUCCCGGGUCUUGUACACACCGCCCGUCACACCACGAGAGUUCGUAACACCCGAAGCCGGUGGAGUAACCAUUUAUGGAGCUAGCCGUCGAAGGUGGGACAAAUGAUUGGGGUGAAGUCGUAACAAGGUAGCCGUAUCGGAAGGUGC